RNA transcript from Musa acuminata AAA Group (dessert banana), 4152 nucleotides. It is a transcript of the gene named F-box/LRR-repeat protein 15-like, with no coding region annotated. The transcript has 22 exons. Lineage: Eukaryota; Viridiplantae; Streptophyta; Magnoliopsida; Zingiberales; Musaceae. The record is from RefSeq and is a predicted model, not a curated record.
UCUCUCUCUCUAUAUUUUGGAAUCGGCGACUUCGGGACUUCGAUAUGCGAGCGAGGGGGCGAGCGCAGCUAAGAGGGGCAACAGGAACGAAAGAGGCGAAUUGGAACCCUAGAUGCGUCCAUGCGUGCCGAUCCACGCUUCUUUCGGACGAGCGAUCUCGUGAACGCAGGAGGAUCUGAUCUCUUGCUUUAAACCCCUUUAUCUUUAUUCUGGUCAGCAAUCGGUGGUUCUAGGAUCAGGGGGUUAGGUUUUCUGCCGAUGAUACCGGGAGGAGGCUGUGAUUAGUUUGUCCUCUUGCCUUUCUUUGGAACUGCGGAGAUCUUACAUUUUGGCUAUUUUUCCCGGCUGUUUUCUUUUGGUGAGUAUUACAGAGGGUUUCGUGUUGCACCGCAAUGGCGGACAAGCGCAUGAAGGCGGUCGUCGAAUAUGAUGACGCUGAGGAUGGGAAUAGUGAGGAGGGAGAGAAAGAGGACUCUGAUGAUUUAGAGCUUGGUCUCUCACUGGCCCAUUCGGAGAUUAGGGCGGGGUUUAUGGGUGGCGGGCAGAUGGAAGGCCAUAGCAGGAAGAACUUGCCUUGGGAGGACCAGGGUGUUGGGUGCUCGCAGUUUGGCUCACCGCUGGAGCCUUUGAGGCAAUUUGAUUUUGGGCAAGGGAAUGUGAAGGACUGGGUAGAAAUGAACGAUUGUAGAGAGGACGUGGUGGAGGUAGGUUCUGUGUCUCAGGUGAAUUAUGUAUCACGUGACAUCUGUUUGGAGAUGUCCAAUUCUGAAUGUCAGAGGUUUGCUCAACAAAAGCGGCGUAAAGUCCUUGCUUCUCCAGAAGACGCAACUUUCUUCCUUGCUGAAGUGACAGCAGCAGCAGUGGCUAUUGACUUCAUUCCACUAAGUUCAUCAUAUUCAGUUGAAGACAAGAAGGCCUACCACUUGAGCAUUUUCUCAAGUGAUGAUGCUUUUGUAAAGUCCAGCAACACCAUUGAUGGAGUAGGCUUCGAUGGAGACACCAUAACUGCAAUAAGUGCUAAAAAUGUGGAAUUCAGGAUGGAUUUUUCAGAUGAUCUGUUACACCUGAUUUUCUCUUUCCUUGAACAAAAAGAUUUAUGUAGAGCAGGAGCAACAUGCAAGCAGUGGUUAGCAGCUAGCACACAUGAGAAUUUCUGGAGGUGUUUAGAGUUUGAAAAUAUAAGGAUCUCCCAGCAGAACUUUGUUGCUAUUUGCCAUCGUUACCCCAAUGCUACUGAAGUAAAACUGCGUGGUACUCGAAAUGUUGAGGGCCUUGUCAUUGUUGCAAUGACUUCUUUAAGGCAUCUUGAAACUUUAAUCUUGGACAAGGGGCGGCAUAGUGAAUCUUUUUUUCUUAGUGAAGCUUUUUUUCUUACCUUGACUGAUUGUCCUGCGUUAACUACUUUGAGAAUUUCUGAUGCAUUUAUCAGUAAUUGCACUCAAGAGGUAACUGUAUGCCAUGAAAAGUUACAUGACCUUCAGUUGGUAAAAUAUCGAGCUCUCCGUAUUACUGUCAGAUGUCCUCAACUUCAGACUUUGUCCCUGAAGCGCAGCAGCAUGGCUCAUGUUUUGCUUAAUUGUCCCCAGUUACGUGUGUUGGAUUUAUCUUCCUGCCACAAAUUACCUGAUACUGCAAUUCGGUCAUCUGCUAUGUCAUGCCCUUUAUUGACAUCACUAAACAUGUCAUCUUGCUUAUGUGUUACUGAUGAAACCAUACGUGAAAUAUCUUUCACAUGUCCAAAUCUGUGCAUUCUUGAUGCUUCGAACUGUCCAAAUAUCUCAUUUGAGUCGGUGACACUCCCCAUGUUGAUGGAUUUGAGGCUUGAAAGUUGUGAGGCAAUAACUUCUGCCUCUAUAUCUGCCAUAUCUCAGAGCCAGAUGCUAAAGUCAUUGGAGCUUUAUAACUGUGGCAUGCUUACUUCUGUCUCACUGGACCUGCCACACCUGCAGAAUAUAAGUCUUGUAUAUUUGCGCAGAUUUGUUGAUCUUAAUUUGCGGAGUCCUGUGCUCAAGCAGAUCAAGGUUUCUAGAUGUUCAGCACUUCACCGCAUUAGCAUUACAUCAAAUGCACUUCAGAAACUGGUAUUGCAAAAGCAGGAAAGUUUGACUACUUUGUUAUUGCAAUGUCAAAACUUGCAAGAAAUGGACCUUAGUGAUUGCGAGUCUUUGAUGGAUUCUAUUUGUGAAGUGUUUAGUGAUGGGGGAGGUUGCCCAAAGCUACGGUCAUUGGUUCUUGACAAUUGUGAGCGCCUAAGUAUGGUCAAAAUUAGCAGUUGCACUCUGGUGUAUCUAUCACUGGCUUGGUGCCAUGCUAUGAAUGUGAUUGAACUAUCAUGUCCAAACCUUGAAGAACUAAAUCUCGAUGGCUGUGAUCAUCUUGAAAGUGCAUCAUUUUGUUCGGUUGGUCUUGAGUUGCUUAAUUUAGGUAUCUGCCCAAGACUAAGUGAUCUACGGAUUGAAGCUCAAAACAUGUUAGUCUUGGAUCUUAAGGGUUGUGGUGUGCUAUCGCAAGCAUAUAUUCACUGUCCUCGCUUGAAAGUCUUGGAUGCUUCGUUCUGCAGAAAAUUUAGUGAUGAAUCAUUGUCUACAAUAGCUGCAUCAUGCCCUCAUAUUGAAUCUUUGAUCCUGUCAUCGUGCCAAUCUGUUGGACCUAAUGGGCUAUCUUCCUUGCAUUUUCUUCGACGUCUGACUCUGCUCGAUUUGUCAUACACAUUUUUUAUGAGCUUGCGGCCUGUUUUUGACAAUUGUUUGCAGUUAGUGGUCUUAAAACUUUCUGCCUGCAAGUAUCUCACAGAUUUUUCUCUUGAUGCCCUCUAUAAAGAAGAUGUGCUUCCAGCCCUUCGUGAGCUGGACUUGUCAUAUUCAUCUAUUGGACAACUUGAUAUACUAAAUCUAAUCACUUACUGUACAAAUUUGGUUCAUCUGAAUUUGAAUGGUUGUGCAAACAUUAACGAACUUAUCUGGAGCUCUAGUUAUUGCCAUUCAUCUAAUAUGGCCAUCAAUAACUGUUCGUCUGCAAUAUCAAAAGAAAAUGACGAGAGCUUUAGGAAGACUGGCCAUCUGCUUCAGAUUCUGAACUGCACCGGUUGUCCAAAUAUUAAGAAAGUUCUCAUUUCUUCUUCAGCUAAUUGUUUGCGUUUAUCCAAAAUUAACCUCAAUUUGUCCAUAAAUUUGAAGGAAGUAUAUCUGACAUGUACCAAUCUCUGCAUGCUAAAUUUGAGCUACUGUAGUUCCUUGGUGAUCUUGAGGCUCAAUUGUCCAAGACUUAACAACCUCCAGCUUCUGGCUUGUAGCAUGCUGACUGAAGAAGCAUUAGAAGAUGCUAUUUCCCAGUGUCAAGAGUUGGAAAUUAUCAACAUCUUCUCUUGCUCCAAGAUACUUGCCAAAGAUUUUGAUAGAUGGCGAAUGGUUUGCCCGAGCCUGAGACGAAUCCAAAGCAGUCUAUAAAGUGCUAUUCCAUUUCGAGUUUUCAGCGAGCCACAGUCCACGAACUCCAGCGAAUCACUCGGUGGGGAAGCGUCGAUGGGAAGAUAAAACCCGGGAGAAAAAGAAUACUUUCCUCCGUCGCAGGAAGAGUUUUAUUCUGCCGCCGCUGCCCGAGCUCUCCUCGUCGCAUCCUCGCCCGUCUUCCUCUCGCCAUCAUAUGCCGCUGCCUCUGCCUCGAAGCCUUUUAUCAUCCCUCGCUUUUCCCCCUCCGGCGCUUCCCCGCUCGUUUCUUCCUUCACGCGCGCCUUCCCCAGUGUCAUCUGGAUUACAUCCAGGAGAAGGAAGGUUAAUCUUCAAAGAACAUCUGUUUCUAUUAGGUGUGAGCAGGGAACAAAGGAGAACAAUGGAUUGGAUGUAUGGCUGGGUCGCUUUGCUAUGGUUGGAUUUGCAACAGCGAUAACUGUUGAAAUAUCAACAGGGAAAGGGCUUCUAGAGAACUUUAGGUUUAUAAUACCACAACCAACUUUGGCAUUCAUGGUGACAACACUUGUGGAUGCUCUUUCAGUGUUCUUCUUUCAGUCUGCCUCUCAAGAUUAAUUAUUUUACUUUGUGUCAUUAUUUCUUUUAUCCCCUUCAAUGAGACAAGAAUUGUUUGACUGUGUCUGAUAUUUUGUAUUUUACAGUUCCUUAUACUAGAUAAAGCAUACACUCUUCUCUAUUAUCAUUC